Molecule: transfer RNA, 72 nt
Filed under: Chitinophagaceae bacterium
Lineage: Bacteria; Pseudomonadati; Bacteroidota; Chitinophagia; Chitinophagales; Chitinophagaceae
Description: tRNA-Ile
Rfam family: tRNA
About the family: Transfer RNA (tRNA) molecules are approximately 80 nucleotides in length. Their secondary structure includes four short double-helical elements and three loops (D, anti-codon, and T loops).
Source: RNAcentral
GAUGGUUUAACUCAAUGGCAGAGUACUAUCCUGAUACGAUAGAAGCUGAUAGUUCGAAUCUAUCAACCAUCA